CAGCCGCCACGGUAAUACGUAGGUGGCAAGCGUUGUCCGGAAUUAUUGGGCGUAAAGGGCUCGCAGGCGGUUUCUUAAGUCUGAUGUGAAAGCCCCCGGCUCAACCGGGGAGGGUCAUUGGAAACUGGGAAACUUGAGUGCAGGAGAGAAAAGUGGAAUUCCUAGUGUAGCGGUGAAAUGCGUAGAGAUUAGGAGGAACACCAGUGGCGAAGGCGGCUUUUUGGCCUGUAACUGACACUGAGGCGCGAAAGCGUGGGGAGCAAACAGGAUUAGAUACCCGUGUAGUCCCUGUCUCUUAUAC
RNAcentral lists this ribosomal RNA (301 nucleotides) under uncultured bacterium. RNAcentral describes it as "partial 16S ribosomal RNA". It matches the Rfam family "Bacterial small subunit ribosomal RNA", at positions 509 to 807 of the family's 1533-position model. The record is from RNAcentral.